GACGAACGCUGGCGGCGUGCUUAACACAUGCAAGUCGAACGGAAAGGCCCUGCUUUUGUGGGGUGCUCGAGUGGCGAACGGGUGAGUAACACGUGAGUAACCUGCCCUUGACUUUGGGAUAACUUCAGGAAACUGGGGCUAAUACCGGAUAGGAGCUCCUGCUGCAUGGUGGGGGUUGGAAAGUUUCGGCGGCUGGGGAUGGACUCGCGGCUUAUCAGCUUGUUGGUGGGGUAGUGGCUUACCAAGGCUUUGACGGGUAGCCGGCCUGAGAGGGUGACCGGCCACAUUGGGACUGAGAUACGGCCCAGACUCCUACGGGAGGCAGCAGUGGGGAAUAUUGCACAAUGGGCGGAAGCCUGAUGCAGCAACGCCGCGUGCGGGAUGUCGGCCUUCGGGUUGUAAACCGCUUUCGCCUGUGACGAAGCGUGAGUGACGGUAAUGGGUAAAGAAGCACCGGCUAACUACGUG
Molecule: ribosomal RNA, 468 nt
Filed under: uncultured bacterium
Lineage: Bacteria
Description: partial 16S ribosomal RNA
Rfam family: Bacterial small subunit ribosomal RNA
Source: RNAcentral